RNAcentral lists this ribosomal RNA (292 nucleotides) under uncultured bacterium. RNAcentral's name for it is "partial 16S ribosomal RNA". It matches the Rfam family "Bacterial small subunit ribosomal RNA", at positions 505 to 796 of the family's 1533-position model. The record is from RNAcentral.
GUGCCAGCCGCCGCGGUAAUACGGAGGGUGCAAGCGUUGUCCGGAAUCACUGGGCGUAAAGGGUGUGCAGGUGGGGCAGCAAGUCAGAGGUGAAAUCCCGCGGCUUAACCACGGAAGUGCCUUCGAAACUGUUGCUCUUGAGUCCCGGAGAGGUUGCCGGAAUUCGUGGUGUAGCGGUGAAAUGCGUAGAUAUCACGAGGAACGCCAGAGGCGAAAGCGGGCAACUGGACGGGUACUGACGCUCAGGCACGAAAGCGCGGGGAGCAAACAGGAUUAGAAACCCUUGUAGUCC